AUUGAACGCUGGCGGCAGGCUUAACACAUGCAAGUCGAGCGGGGGAAGGUAGCUUGCUACCGGACCUAGCGGCGGACGGGUGAGUAAUGCUUAGGAAUCUGCCUAUUAGUGGGGGACAACAUCUCGCGAGGGAUGCUAAUACCGCAUACGUCCUACGGGAGAAAGCAGGGGAUCUUCGGACCUUGCGCUAAUAGAUGAGCCUAAGUCGGAUUAGCUAGUUGGUGGGGUAAAGGCCUACCAAGGCGACGAUCUGUAGCGGGUCUGAGAGGAUGAUCCGCAAAACAUGGUCGGAGACACGGCCCAGACUCAUACGGGUGGCAGGAGUGGGGAAUAUUGGACAAUCGGGGGAACCCUGAUCCAGCCAUGCCGCGUGUGUGAAGAAGGCCUUAUGGUUGUAAGCACUUUAAGCGAGGAGGAGGCUACUUUAGUUAAUACCUAGAGAUAGUGGACGUUACUCGCAGAAUAAGCACCGGCUAACUCUGUGCCAGCCGCCGCCGUAA
This 500-nucleotide ribosomal RNA is filed under the name uncultured bacterium. Its description in RNAcentral is "partial 16S ribosomal RNA". It matches the Rfam family "Bacterial small subunit ribosomal RNA", at positions 30 to 523 of the family's 1533-position model. The record is from RNAcentral.